Molecule: transfer RNA, 69 nt
Filed under: Xenopus laevis (African clawed frog)
Lineage: Eukaryota; Metazoa; Chordata; Amphibia; Anura; Pipidae
Rfam family: tRNA
About the family: Transfer RNA (tRNA) molecules are approximately 80 nucleotides in length. Their secondary structure includes four short double-helical elements and three loops (D, anti-codon, and T loops).
Source: Rfam by way of RNAcentral
GCUUACGUAGCUUAAGUAAAGCACAGCACUGAAGAUGCUGAGAUGAGCCCUACGAAAGCUCCGUAAGCA